This 465-nucleotide ribosomal RNA is filed under the name uncultured bacterium. RNAcentral's name for it is "partial 16S ribosomal RNA". It matches the Rfam family "Bacterial small subunit ribosomal RNA", at positions 28 to 507 of the family's 1533-position model. The record is from RNAcentral.
GAUGAACGCUGGCGGCGUGCUUAACACAUGCAAGUCGAACGGAAAGGCUCCUGCUUGCAGGGGUACUCGAGUGGCGAACGGGUGAGUAACACGUGGGUGAUCUGCCCUGCACUUCGGGAUAAGCCUGGGAAACUGGGUCUAAUACCGGAUAGGACCACAUUUUGGAUGGUGUGGUGGAAAGUUUUUCGGUGUGGGAUGAGCUCGCGGCCUAUCAGCUUGUUGGUGGGGUAAUGGCCUACCAAGGCGUCGACGGGUAGCCGGCCUGAGAGGGUGUACGGCCACAUUGGGACUGAGAUACGACCCAGACUCCUACGGGAGGCAGCAGUGGGGAAUAUUGCACAAUGGGCGCAAGCCUGAUGCAGCGACGCCGCGUGGGGGAUGACGGCCUUCGGGUUGUAAACUCCUUUCGCUAGGGACGAAGCGCAAGUGACGGUACCUGGAGAAGAAGCACCGGCUAACUACGUG